RNAcentral lists this ribosomal RNA (523 nucleotides) under uncultured bacterium. RNAcentral describes it as "bacterial SSU rRNA". It matches the Rfam family "Bacterial small subunit ribosomal RNA", at positions 29 to 527 of the family's 1533-position model. The record is from RNAcentral.
AGUGAACGCUGGCGGCAGGCCUAACACAUGCAAGUCGAGCGGCAGCGCGUCCGACCACCCUCGGGUGGUCGGAUGGCGGCGAGCGGCGGACGGGUGAGGAAUGCAUCGGAAUCUGCCUCGUUGUGGGGGAUAACGUAGGGAAACUUACGCUAAUACCGCAUACGACCUACGGGUGAAAGUGGGGGACCUUCGGGCCUCACGCGAUGAGAUGAGCCGAUGCCGGAUUAGCUAGUUGGCGGGGUAAAGGCCCACCAAGGCGACGAUCCGUAGCUGGUCUGAGAGGAUGAUCAGCCACACUGGAACUGAGACACGGUCCAGACUCCUACGGGAGGCAGCAGUGGGGAAUAUUGGACAAUGGGGGCAACCCUGAUCCAGCCAUGCCGCGUGUGUGAAGAAGGCCUUCGGUUGUUAAAGCGACUUUUGUUGGGGUAGGAAACCGGACCGGGUUAAUAACCCUGGUUGAUGACGGUACCAAACGGAAUAAAGACCGGCUAACUUCGUGCCAGCAGCCGCGGUAAACACG